UACGUAGGGGGCUAGCGUUAUCCGGAAUCACUGGGCGUAAAGCGUGCGUAGGCUGUUUCGUAAGUCGUGUGUGAAAGGCGCGGGCUCAACCCGCGGACGGCACAUGAUACUGCGAGACUAGAGUAAUGGAGGGGGAACCGGAAUUCUCGGUGUAGCAGUGAAAUGCGUAGAUAUCGAGAGGAACACUCGUGGCGAAGGCGGGUUCCUGGACAUUAACUGACGCUGAGGCACGAAGGCCAGGGGAGCGA
This 248-nucleotide ribosomal RNA is filed under the name uncultured Akkermansia sp. Its description in RNAcentral is "partial 16S ribosomal RNA". It matches the Rfam family "Bacterial small subunit ribosomal RNA", at positions 524 to 771 of the family's 1533-position model. Lineage: Bacteria; Pseudomonadati; Verrucomicrobiota; Verrucomicrobiia; Verrucomicrobiales; Akkermansiaceae. The record is from RNAcentral.